UGUAGAAACUGAUAAGUAUUUGACGUAUACUCUACAAUCAUUUUUUAACAUUCACUAAGAGCAACUGAUUGCUGUGCUCUGAAGUUUGGCAAGAAUGAAACAGUAGCUGUCUCCAUCCACAAAGAUGUUAUUACCCUUGAGUUAUGGCCUAGAAGUGAUUCGUUUUCUGGAUCAAGCUCCUCCAAGACCCAGAAAUGGGACGGACCGUCGUUAUUCAGAGAAUGAAGUUCACCCCUGUAGUAGACUCAAUGAGAAUAUUGACUUAAUGUCUACUGGGAGCAUGAAACAGAACCGAAAGCCCGUAGAAUUGGUUUUCCGGGAUGUCUGUGUCUUUUUUGGUGAGAAGGAAAUCCUGCAUAAUGUUAGUGGAAGAGUCCGUCCUGGGGAGUUGCUCUCUGUGAUGGGACCAAGAGGUAAGUAUGCCGUAUAUUGAACUUUAAGUCUAACAACCAAGUCAGAAACACUGAUUUCUAACAAGCAUAAUGUAACCUUUACCAUGGUUUACUUGGAUAUGAAGAAAUAUAUAUUGAACCGCAUAAGGCA
Limulus polyphemus (Atlantic horseshoe crab) is the source of this 543-nucleotide long non-coding RNA. RefSeq lists it as uncharacterized. The record is from RefSeq and is a predicted model, not a curated record. Lineage: Eukaryota; Metazoa; Arthropoda; Merostomata; Xiphosura; Limulidae. The transcript has 3 exons.